RNAcentral lists this ribosomal RNA (499 nucleotides) under uncultured bacterium. RNAcentral describes it as "partial 16S ribosomal RNA". It matches the Rfam family "Bacterial small subunit ribosomal RNA", at positions 899 to 1397 of the family's 1533-position model. The record is from RNAcentral.
ACUCAAAUGAAUUGACGGGGGCCCGCACAAGCGGUGGAGCAUGUGGUUUAAUUCGACGCAACGCGAAGAACCUUACCUAGGCUUGACAUGUACGGAAGUCGUUAGAAAUAGCGAUGUGCCCGCAAGGGAGCCGUAACACAGGUGCUGCAUGGCUGUCGUCAGCUCGUGUCGUGAGAUGUUGGGUUAAGUCCCGCAACGAGCGCAACCCUUGUCGUUAGUUGCCAGCAUUCAGUUGGGAACUCUAACGAGACUGCCGUGGUUAACACGGAGGAAGGUGGGGAUGACGUCAAGUCCUCAUGGCCUUUAUGCUUAGGGCUACACACGUGCUACAAUGCGUUCUACAGAGGGCUGCGAAGCCGCAAGGUGAAGCCAAUCCCACAAAAGAAUGCUAAGUUCAGAUUGGAGUCUGCAACUCGACUCCAUGAAGCUGGAAUCGCUAGUAAUCGCGGAUCAGAACGCCGCGGUGAAUACGUUCCCGGGCCUUGUACACACCGCCCGU